UCUCCGUUGGUGAACCAGCGGAGGGAUCAUUACCGAGUUUACAACUCCCAAACCCUAUGUGAACAUUACCUUUUGUUGCUUCGGCGGGAUCGCCCUGGCGCUUCACGGCGCCGGCUCUCAGCGCCCGCCGGAGGCCCAAAACUCUUGUUUAUUUCUGUUUCCUCUCCUAGUGGCACAAGCAAAAUAAAUCAAAACUUUCAACAACGGAUCUCUUGGUUCUG
This 221-nucleotide unclassified non-coding RNA is filed under the name plant metagenome. RNAcentral describes it as "partial contains small subunit ribosomal RNA, internal transcribed spacer 1, and 5.8S ribosomal RNA". The record is from RNAcentral.